RNAcentral lists this ribosomal RNA (252 nucleotides) under uncultured bacterium. Its description in RNAcentral is "partial 16S ribosomal RNA". It matches the Rfam family "Bacterial small subunit ribosomal RNA", at positions 524 to 776 of the family's 1533-position model. The record is from RNAcentral.
GACGUAGGGCGCGAGCGUUGUCCGGAUUUAUUGGGCGUAAAGAGCUCGUAGGCGGCUUGUCGCGUCGUCCGUGAAAACCCACAGCUCAACUGUGGGCUUGCGGUCGAUACGGGCAGGCUAGAGUUCGGUAGGGGAGACUGGAAUUCCUGGUGUAGCGGUGAAAUGCGCAGAUAUCAGGAGGAACACCGGUGGCGAAGGCGGGCCUCUGGGCCGAUACUGACGCUGAGGCGCGAAGCGUGGGGAGCAAACAGG